This 2429-nucleotide long non-coding RNA is filed under the name Medicago truncatula (barrel medic). Its description in RNAcentral is "long non-coding RNA (MTRU_LNC006661)". The record is from RNAcentral. Lineage: Eukaryota; Viridiplantae; Streptophyta; Magnoliopsida; Fabales; Fabaceae.
AAACUGGAAAUGACAUAUAUUACAGAGGUGAAAAGCACUAUUAACCCUAAAAAAUAUCACAUUCACACUAAAAAUGUGAUCAAUUGCAAGGCAUCGCUUUGUCCAAGUGAAUAGCUUUGGAUAAACCUAAUUAUAAUGGAUAAAAUAUUUACUUUUAAUUUUUUUAACAAAUUAAUGAAUAAAAAAAUUUGAUACCUUGUAUAAGUAUGUAGCACUCAUUUUAUUAUUUUUAUUGAAUAAUAAUAAUAGAUGAAUGAUAAGGUGUUAACCCUGGCUCUCAAAGAAGAGCCGUUGAGUUUUGAAUAUGAUUAUAGGAUUGAUUCGUUAGUUGAUUGAAUUGGAUCAUAGACUACUCUCUUAUCACUAAAGAAUAUAAUUUCAUUUAAAAAAUUCUAAAGACUAUUCAUCUAUACAUUAUACACCUCCACACACUUUGAUGCCGUUAGAACUCGGGAUAAGUAUAGUUUUACUUAAAAAAAUAGUUUGUAAGAUGAUGAGUGUUUCGUUUAUAAAUACAUGGUCAAACCAUUUCUUAUCUAAAGUGAAACUUUUAACGCACCUCUCACGUUUAGGAAUGGGCAUAUGCUGCAUGACAUGGGUGGUUUGAUAACGGUGACUUUACCGUAACCGAUGCAACAUGUCUUAAAUAAGUUUUAACGGCAUAUUACCAUUUAAGACGAGUCUAAGUCAACAUCACAAAACCGUCUUAUAAGAUGAGAGAUACUACCACAUAUAAAUACAUUAUCAAAUUAUAUCUCAUCAAAUUUAAAAGUUUUAACCAUUGCUUCACUUUACAGGCUUAUAACUUUUGGACGAUUGGAAAUAAUAAACUGAAUGCAUCCCCUCCCCCACUUCAAACAACAAAACAAUGAUCAUGCCAUGUAAAUUUCAAUAUAAAAUGUUAUAGACAAAUUACAUCUUACGUUGAAAUUUUUACUGUUAGAUUAUUUUCAUAUUUUUAUCAUAUAGUAUUUUGAUACCAAUUAAUCGAUGGUUUUUUUUUUUGGUGAAGGAAGUUAUUUAAUUAAAAAUUAUUAUUUUUUGUUCAAAGAUAAGAUGUCAAACUCUGGCGUGUUAGAGGGACAUUACGUAAUAUGCUGAACAUGGACCACUUGACAUCUAGUCAAUUUCGUGGUCGAUUUGCACGUAUUUGUGUGAAAAGGGAUCUUGAUAAGAAAAUCAUUUUAAAGUUCAUUGUGAAUGUUUUAGGUUUUGUUUUUACUAUUGAACAUGAAGGAUUACAUACAUAUUGCGUGUUUUAGUUGUGGCAUUGUGGAAAAUAUGGCCACAAUGCGGAAACUUGCCAAGACCACUACGUGAAGAAGAUUGUGUUCACCAUAAGAAAUGCUAGUUUAUCUACGGUUUAUGUUUCGAAAGUGUAACAACCAAUAAACCUAAAUUCUACAAAGAAGAACCCUUUGGCUCAUGAGGGAACUUCACAUGCAAAGGAGGAAGAUAUUCCAUCAUAUUUUAGUCCCUCGAUGUUGGUCAAAAUACAUAAUAUGCAUAAGCAAUUGAGUAGUGCAGCUCAACCGAAAUUUUCGGAGAAAAUAAAAAUAAAAAGGCUUAUUGAUGUGUUUAGCCCUUGCAAUUAGGCGGCAUUUAAAAAUUCGUUCCUGUAAUUGUUAAUCCUGGCAUUUUAACCCUGCAAUUGUUAAUCGUUUAAAAUUUGGUCCUUGGACCAAAUUAAUCACUGCCACGUCACUAAUUUGAUGACGUGGCAAUCACUGUCACACAUGAAAUUACAAUUUUGCCCUUAAGAAGAGGACAAAAUAUUGAAGAAAGAAUUGGAAACCCAGGGGUAAAUUUGGAAUUUCAUGUGGCGUGGCAGUGAUUAAGUGGGGAGAGGGACGAAAUUUUAAAUGAUUAACAAUUGCAGGGUUAAAAUGUCAGGAUUAGCAAUUACAGGGACGAAUUUUUAAAUGCCGCCUAAUUGCAAGGGUUAAACACAUCAAUAAGCCAAAUAAAAAUCAUGAAUAUACUAAAGGUAAAAAGCAUGAGGUAGAAACAAAUGAAUAUAUUGAUAUUGGUGUAGUCGUUAUAUAGAUAAAGAUAAUAGGAGUUGUGAUUCGUGUGUUGCAUAAAAAAAUCAUCAGAUGAGGGGCCCACAUCAAAGCUUGAUGGGUUUAAAGUGAAUGAAACAUCACAUUAAUAUAUAAUUUUUAAUUUUAUUUUAUAGUGCAUAUUAGUUUAAUUUGAUCUAUAUUUUUAUUAUUUCACAUGUUUCAAACAUAAUCAAUCAUUAUUAUUUUAUAAUGUUAAUUUUUAGUAUAUUAAAUGUUAUGGUUUGUGUCAAACUUAAGUACAAUUGUAUUAAUAUGAAUUUUUUACAAUUGUAAUUUUGAUCAUUCGAAAAUCGAUCCAAAGUAAACCAUAUUUAUUUUGAUCGAUUUUGAUAUUUUUAAAAAGGGGUAAUUCUAAUUUCUAAC